AUGCCAGAGGCUCUAUUUCCUAGCAUUUUACAGCUCCUAUAACUGUAGAAUGGUUGUAGGUCACAGGUAUAACCAAUGAAAACACAACCUAAGAUACAAAUCAGGAGCUACUGAUGCAAAGAAUGGGGACCAGGAGGAAGAGUUUCUUCGAGACCUGGUGGUUGAAGAGCAGUGGAUCAUUCUUGGCUGUGGUGGGAGAGGUGCUGAACGUUGUUCACGCUGGCUAUGUCAUGAGUGGAAUCUAUGGCGUCAAGGCUAGAGCUGGAGGGAAUGGGCUCCCCAUUGAGGUGAUGGACUUCAUCCCUGGUGCUAUUCAAGCAGUGGCUGUGGGCUUCCAGUCAGGGAUGCAGUGAAUGAGCCUCUUAUACCAGAGAAGGAUGGAUAGAGAAAAGCAUCAUUACAAAAGUGAAAUGUGUGAAUUUUAUUCUGGCUUUGAACAUUGAGUAGACGAAGAAGACAAUUCCAGACGGAGGAAACUCCACAAGAAAUAUCAUGGAAAUUUGAAAGAACACAGUGGGCUUGGGAAGAGGUGCUUCCAAGACCAAGAUAACCAGGCAAUCAUAGUAGAUGCAUCAAUGCACCCUUGCCCAAGGGCCUAGACAAGAGGAGGAAGGAAAGGAGGAGCACGUGCACAAAGCUAAGGAGGUGAUUAACAACAUGAUACAGUAUUGUUUAGCUUCGCAUGAAUUUUAUCACCUUGCCUAGAACCAGCCACCAUCUGCCAGGGCUCCUGACUUUUUCUGAAAUGAAUAGACACUAAAGCCUGCUGGGGAAUUUCAUGGAAAUCAAGAUGACUCAACCCAGAGUCCAUUUCAAGGCUAGGAUGCUAGAGGACGCCAACAAAGGAGUAGGGAAGUGAAACGGAUCAGCUCACAUCCAAGCCCUUGCAUGAUCAAUCCUGCAGUAGGAGUGCUGCUCAGUUGGGACUCAUGAGAGCCCGGAAGAGGAAAAAGCAGCUCUAAGCAUAGCAAAGAAGCUGUUAUGGAAAAGACCCAAAUGUUAAAAUGGUGGACAUAGUAAAGUGAUUGGUUCUGCUUAGGGGAAUCUAGAUCCCCACAUUUUGACCUCCACUGGAGUCUCAGAAGAACAAGUGCCAGGGGGGCUUGCCACAGAGGCCAAGGCAGUGAAUGUCAGGCACAUCACAGUCCCCAAGAUGGGGAGAAGACUGAGAUGCAGGGUAACAACUGCAAUCCAUUCAUGGGAGCCAUGUUUAUCUUAAAUCAUUGACAGUGAGAUAAGGAUCAUGUCAGCCUUCAUACCUUUGAUGAUGAUCCCAGGCUGCAACAGUGACACAUAGAACUGGAUUCAGUAACUAACUACAGAUUCCAUCAACCAGGACUAGUAAAGUGAAAGGCAGAAAUUGGGAGGAGGGGUUUCUUUCUUGCUUAUAAAACUUUAUUUGGUUGUGUUGAGUAUGUGCAUGUAUGUAUGAAAUCCCAUAAAGCAGUCUUCUUAGGAACAAGCCAACAUGCCACAAUGUAGGAGAUCUUUGGAGCACUGGCCUAAAUGGCAGAGAGCUCAAGGGACUCUGCUUUGUACAAGGCAUGAUUUGUACCACCACCACUAUCCCUGUUUCAGAGCACUGUUGAAUUGUUCCAAACCUGGAUUUCUAUGUCAGCUCCCUGUCUAUAGUACUUGACUGAUAAAUGCUAGUUUCUGAAAUCUGCUUUGGUUCUAUAAUUUAUUAGACAGCUUUUUCUUCCCAUUUUAUUACUUGUUUUUACUGUCAUUGGUAUAUUAUCUCUUACAGUGAAAACAUUCAUAGGCUGAUUGAAGAGAAGAUCUGAAAUUAUUAGGCAGCAAGCAUACAAAACCCUUGCUUUAUAAAGAUAAUAUCUUAAAGGCCUAAUGUCUAUGGUUCAAAGCAGCCUGGAGAUGUUGGCUAAAUCUUCCAUCAUAGAGUCCUCAUGGGAUCUGGAAGCUCUGAUUUAUCUUCCUUCAGGCCCUAUAAGUUAGCUUUCCACAUCUGUAGGUUCCACA
RNAcentral lists this long non-coding RNA (1980 nucleotides) under Homo sapiens (human). Its description in RNAcentral is "HSALNT0361603". Lineage: Eukaryota; Metazoa; Chordata; Mammalia; Primates; Hominidae. The record is from RNAcentral.